This is a long non-coding RNA of Neodiprion fabricii, 142 nucleotides long. RefSeq lists it as uncharacterized. The transcript has 3 exons. Lineage: Eukaryota; Metazoa; Arthropoda; Insecta; Hymenoptera; Diprionidae. The record is from RefSeq and is a predicted model, not a curated record.
GACACUCUUUCUCUACACGAUGCUUUUUAGAUUUAAUGAUCCCGCUUUAAUAUAAUUAUCAAGUUACAAACAAUCGUCGGUGUUGUUGCAGAGAGAACUCCGACCACGUGAACAUAAAAACUUGUGUAUUCCUCGAGUUAAG